CAUUCGAUUCAGACUGAAAACACAGUAACUCCUCUGGACCUUGCUGGGAAAUUCCCUGCCCAGGCCACGGGCAGCACUCCAGUGCAGCUGACCUCCCUCAAGGCCUCAAACACAUGAUUCCACUAAAGGCUUAACAGGGGAACCUCACAAGUAGGCAGAGAGCGCAUCUGAGAUACAAGGACACAGAAGUAAUGCAAAUGCAACUGAGAUUAAAGCCAGUGGAUAAAAGUAAAGGUCACUUUAAAGGAGGAUAAAGCUACAGUGUAUGUAACCUAGCAUAGGUGAUUUCAACACUACAGAACUGUGAAGCCUGAAAUUCUACAGUAGAGAAGGGUAUGAGGAAGACAUCACAGGAUACCAAAGAGUGUUACAGAGGACCCACAAAUAGUCGUGAGCAUGAGACGGUGAACAACAAAUCCAUUUUUGGUGUGUUGCAGCAAGAGCACUGGUCUGCUAUGACCUGCUGCAUUCUACCUGGAAGUACAAGUCAGAAGUCAGCCUGUCAUAUUUUUUUCAAAAGAUGAUUUGUCAAAAUGAGACUUCAUUCAUAAAAUCAGUCUGGCUGGGCACAGUGGCUCAUGCCUGUAAUCCUAGCAGCUUGGGAGGCUGAGGUAGGUGGAUAGCUUGAGCCCAGGAGUUUGAGACCAGCCUGGGCAACAUGGCAAAACCCCACCUCUACAAAAAAUACAAAAAUUACCCAGAUGUACUGUCACACACCUGUGGUCCCAGCUACUCGGCAGACUGAGAUAGGAGGAUCACCUGAGCCCAGGAGGUUAAGACUGCCCUGAGCCAGGAUUGGGCCACUGCACUCCAGUUUGGAGGACAGUGAAACUCUGUCUCAAAACAAACAAACAAACAAACAAAAGCUCUCAAUCUGUUCAAAUAGGCAGAUUGUCUUCCAUAAUCUUUCCACCGUGAUCUUGCCUUGUGAAGUUUCUACUACCCUGAUGCUACAUAAUUAAGGUAUAUCGUUGUCACUGUCUUUCUAAAUUUGUUGUUCGUUACUUCCUUGCCCCCCCAUUCAUCAUCCAGACAUACAUUUUAAUAAUAUCAAACUCCUUGUAGUUCCCCUAAAUAAAUCAUGUUGUUUCCCU
Molecule: long non-coding RNA, 1094 nt
Organism: Cebus imitator (Panamanian white-faced capuchin)
Lineage: Eukaryota; Metazoa; Chordata; Mammalia; Primates; Cebidae
Exons: 3
Source: RefSeq, a predicted model, not a curated record